UACUCCUACGGGAGGCAGCAGUGAGGAAUAUUGGUCAAUGGGCGAGAGCCUGAACCAGCCAAGUAGCGUGCAGGAUGACGGCCCUAUGGGUUGUAAACUGCUUUUGUAUGGGGAUAAAGUCAAUCACGUGUGAUUGUUUGCAGGUACCAUACGAAUAAGGACCGGCUAAUUCCGUGCCAGCAGCCGCGGUAAUACGGAAGGUCCAGGCGUUAUCCGGAUUUAUUGGGUUUAAAGGGAGCGUAGGCCGGAGAUUAAGUGUGUUGUGAAAUGUAGACGCUCAACGUCUGACUUGCAGCGCAUACUGGUUUCCUUGAGUACGCACAACGUUGGCGGAAUUCGUCGUGUAGCGGUGAAAUGCUUAGAUAUGACGAAGAACUCCGAUUGCGAAGGCAGCUGACGGGAGCGCAACUGACGCUUAAGCUCGAAGGUGCGGGUAUCGAACAGGAUUAGAUACCCUGGUAGUCCGCACAGUAAACGAUGGAUGCCCGCUGUUGGUACCUGGUAUCAGCGGCUAAGCGAAAGCAUUAAGCAUCCCACCUGGGGAGUACGCCGACAACGGUGAAACUCAAAGGAAUUGACGGA
Molecule: ribosomal RNA, 582 nt
Filed under: uncultured bacterium
Lineage: Bacteria
Description: bacterial SSU rRNA
Rfam family: Bacterial small subunit ribosomal RNA
Source: RNAcentral